Molecule: ribosomal RNA, 1475 nt
Filed under: Lacticaseibacillus rhamnosus
Lineage: Bacteria; Bacillati; Bacillota; Bacilli; Lactobacillales; Lactobacillaceae
Description: bacterial SSU rRNA
Rfam family: Bacterial small subunit ribosomal RNA
Source: RNAcentral
CCGGGGGGGUGCUAUACAUGCAAGUCGAACGAGUUCUGAUUAUUGAAAGGUGCUUGCAUCUUGAUUUAAUUUUGAACGAGUGGCGGACGGGUGAGUAACACGUGGGUAACCUGCCCUUAAGUGGGGGAUAACAUUUGGAAACAGAUGCUAAUACCGCAUAAAUCCAAGAACCGCAUGGUUCUUGGCUGAAAGAUGGCGUAAGCUAUCGCUUUUGGAUGGACCCGCGGCGUAUUAGCUAGUUGGUGAGGUAACGGCUCACCAAGGCAAUGAUACGUAGCCGAACUGAGAGGUUGAUCGGCCACAUUGGGACUGAGACACGGCCCAAACUCCUACGGGAGGCAGCAGUAGGGAAUCUUCCACAAUGGACGCAAGUCUGAUGGAGCAACGCCGCGUGAGUGAAGAAGGCUUUCGGGUCGUAAAACUCUGUUGUUGGAGAAGAAUGGUCGGCAGAGUAACUGUUGUCGGCGUGACGGUAUCCAACCAGAAAGCCACGGCUAACUACGUGCCAGCAGCCGCGGUAAUACGUAGGUGGCAAGCGUUAUCCGGAUUUAUUGGGCGUAAAGCGAGCGCAGGCGGUUUUUUAAGUCUGAUGUGAAAGCCCUCGGCUUAACCGAGGAAGUGCAUCGGAAACUGGGAAACUUGAGUGCAGAAGAGGACAGUGGAACUCCAUGUGUAGCGGUGAAAUGCGUAGAUAUAUGGAAGAACACCAGUGGCGAAGGCGGCUGUCUGGUCUGUAACUGACGCUGAGGCUCGAAAGCAUGGGUAGCGAACAGGAUUAGAUACCCUGGUAGUCCAUGCCGUAAACGAUGAAUGCUAGGUGUUGGAGGGUUUCCGCCCUUCAGUGCCGCAGCUAACGCAUUAAGCAUUCCGCCUGGGGAGUACGACCGCAAGGUUGAAACUCAAAGGAAUUGACGGGGGCCCGCACAAGCGGUGGAGCAUGUGGUUUAAUUCGAAGCAACGCGAAGAACCUUACCAGGUCUUGACAUCUUUUGAUCACCUGAGAGAUCAGGUUUCCCCUUCGGGGGCAAAAUGACAGGUGGUGCAUGGUUGUCGUCAGCUCGUGUCGUGAGAUGUUGGGUUAAGUCCCGCAACGAGCGCAACCCUUAUGACUAGUUGCCAGCAUUUAGUUGGGCACUCUAGUAAGACUGCCGGUGACAAACCGGAGGAAGGUGGGGAUGACGUCAAAUCAUCAUGCCCCUUAUGACCUGGGCUACACACGUGCUACAAUGGAUGGUACAACGAGUUGCGAGACCGCGAGGUCAAGCUAAUCUCUUAAAGCCAUUCUCAGUUCGGACUGUAGGCUGCAACUCGCCUACACGAAGUCGGAAUCGCUAGUAAUCGCGGAUCAGCACGCCGCGGUGAAUACGUUCCCGGGCCUUGUACACACCGCCCGUCACACCAUGAGAGUUUGUAACACCCGAAGCCGGUGGCGUAACCCUUUUAGGGAGCGAGCCGUCUAAGGUGGACAAAGGUGG